GAUGAACGCUGGCGGCGUGCCUAAUACAUGCAAGUAGAACGCUGAAGGAGGAGCUUGCUCUUCUGGAUGAGUUGCGAACGGGUGAGUAACGCGUAGGUAACCUGCCUGGUAGCGGGGGAUAACUAUUGGAAACGAUAGCUAAUACCGCAUGACAACAGUUAUUGCAUGAUAACUGUUUAAAAGGGGCAACUGCUCCACUACCAGAUGGACCUGCGUUGUAUUAGCUAGUUGGUGAGGUAACGGCUCACCAAGGCGACGAUACAUAGCCGACCUGAGAGGGGGAUCGGCCACACUGGGACUGAGACACGGCCCAGACUCCUACGGGAGGCAGCAGUAGGGAAUCUUCGGCUAUGGACGGAAGUCUGACCGAGCAACGCCGCGUGAGUGAAGAAGGUUUUCGGAUCGUAAAGCUCUGUUGUAAGAGAAGAACGAGUGUGAGAGUGGAAAGUUCACACUGUGACGGUAUCUUACCAGAAAGGGACGGCUAACUACGUG
Molecule: ribosomal RNA, 495 nt
Filed under: uncultured bacterium
Lineage: Bacteria
Description: partial 16S ribosomal RNA
Rfam family: Bacterial small subunit ribosomal RNA
Source: RNAcentral